Molecule: long non-coding RNA, 1338 nt
Filed under: Heterocephalus glaber (naked mole-rat)
Lineage: Eukaryota; Metazoa; Chordata; Mammalia; Rodentia; Bathyergidae
Description: lncRNA (ENSHGLG00100048304.1)
Source: RNAcentral
GGGACCCAGGAACCAGGAGCAGAACUUUUGCUGGAGAAGCAAGAUCUGGGAGAUCAACUCCCGAUGCAUGGAGGCUCUGCCUCUCUGCGACUUUCUCAUUCAUUAUCUCUUCAUGUUGUGGUGUCAAAUACAGGCAGAUUCCCAGAUCAAAGUCACUUAGUGAAUACACUGAGCCCUUUGUAUGGUGCUAGGGUUUCUCAGCCUCAGCACGGAAGACGCUUUGAACUGGACAGCUCUUGCUGUGGAGGCUGCCCUGUGUGUUGCAGGAUGUUUGGUGCCAUCUAUGACCUCUCUAUGGUAGAUACCAGUCAUGCCUCCACUCCAUCCUGCUUCAUGCCCAUUUCUGACAAUCAAAAUAUCUCUGGAUGUUGCCCAGUGCCUCCUGGGAGGCUAAGAAUCACCCUUCACCGAAAACCACUUUUCUGGAUUUCACCACACGUGGGGGAAAAAUAGAUGAAACACUGGAGUGGAAGUGAGAAGAAAACAUCCUCAUCACCAUCACCAACACCGCCAUCUUGAUCUUCACCACCAUUAUCAUUUCGAUCAUCACCAUGAUCAUCACCAUGAUCAUCAUCACCAUCAUCAUCACCCGUUCUCACCACCACCAAAGUUAAGACGUCACUGGUCUCUGCUUCUGUCACUGCAGAAGGCUCAAAAGUCCCCACAUCUGGGAUGUCAGGUGAAAGAACCAGCAUGAUGUACUUCACCAUCACCUUCUAAAACACCAUCCUCUUCAGGCACCUGCUGCAGGAACCCUCGGACUCAUCCACACCUGCUGAGGUUCCCACUUGCUGAACCCUAGUCACAGAGGAGCUCAGGAACCUGUGGUUGGCCACUCACCUCUGCAGUGAGGGCCCAUGAGACGAGCCUGCAGUGGAUGCUGAGCAAGUCAGUCCAGUGUCCAUCCCUCUCCCAAGCCUCAGACUUGUCAGUAGCAAUUAAGCCUGGGAAAAUUGCCUUUGGCUAAGCACAAAGGCCCACAAAGUCUGUUAAUGAACAAUAGAAAGCUUUACAAUGAUAAUUUACUCUUCUACAAAAAUAAUUGUAGUUCACUAAGAUUGCAAUUCAUAGACAAAUAUGCAGGCCUAACCUGGACAACUUCUACCAGGUUCAUUUCAUGGGUAGUUGUUGAGUACAAAAUGGGCCCAUAGACUAUAAAAAAAAGGUUCUGCUGGACAAGGUGGCCCAUGCCUGUAAUUUCAGUUAUUCAGAAGGCUGAGGCAGGAGGGUGGCAGAUUUGAAGUCAGCCUGAGCUAUGUAGUGAGACCGUUUCAACAUGAAAUUUAAAAAGGGCUUGGGGUGUAGCUCAGUGGUACAACCCUUGCCUAGCGAUUCCCA